Molecule: long non-coding RNA, 1452 nt
Organism: Helicoverpa zea (corn earworm)
Lineage: Eukaryota; Metazoa; Arthropoda; Insecta; Lepidoptera; Noctuidae
Exons: 2
Source: RefSeq, a predicted model, not a curated record
UAUGACUGCGCGCAUAUAUCUCUAUGACUCGCGGAAUUUUCAAUGCUCCGACUGACGCCUUUUUCCCCAACGGACAAUCAGCUGACGAAUAUUUUCUUGUAUCUAUAUAUUAACACUAUAAUAUUUAUACAUUCCAUGUCGUCUUUUAACAAUUUACCCAAGAUUUAACUUACAGCUUAUUGUCUUCCGUACAGAGGAAUUUUUUACCUGCGUUCCUGCGUCCCUUUCAUCAAAAGGGACAGCUGUGUUUCUAAUUUACCGAAUUGUAAUCUGGAGCAAUUGUUUGCAACACUGGAAGAAUAUGUAUGCAGAUUAUAUGCGUUUACGAGAGUCAAUGAUAUCAAUGUUGCUCGUGUGAUGACGUUCACCAAAUCAUAUGGCAAUAACGAUGACUGCAAUCCAUUGAAUUUGAAAAAAAGAAUCGAUGGUUCGUUGUUCCCGCCCUGUAAAGCUGAACUGCAACAACAUUUUCUUCGAACGGCAUAUAUCGCCCACCUUUGGAGCCAUGCUCACCGUGCCAUGCCAACUGACCUGUUGCCAACUGAGUAUGGAUGGGAAGAAUCUGAAGAAAAAUAUUAUUUUAAAUGGUUUACGGGUGAUCAAUUGCCGCCAUCCAUCACUAGCAUCACUAAUCUCGACAUGAACCCACAUGAGGACGACGAAACCGAGAACGACGGAGUGUGUGACAUAAGCAUCGAUAAUUGUGAUGACGACAGUGAUGCAAAGGAAGAUGAUGCAUAAAAAAAUAUUUCUUUGAUUUAUAUUAAGAUUUUUAUGUUAAUUUUAAUAAAAAUAAUCGAAUAAAAUUACGUUUCAAUUAAUCCGAAUAUUACAAACUAGUAGAAAUCAUAUUAAUGUUGUUACCGCUUCACUCCUAUGAAUCUUGGGUAAAUUGUUAAAAGACGACAUGGAAUGUAUAAAUAUUAUAGUGUUAAUAUAUAGAUACAAGAAAAUAUUCGUCAGCUGAUUGUCCGUUGGGGAAAAAGGCGUCAGUCGGAGCAUUGAAAAUUCCGCGAGUCAUAGAGAUAUAUGCGCGCAGUCAUACAUUCCUGCUCUAGCUGACGUGUUUUCCCCCACUAAAUAUGCAGCUGAUUAUCAAUAUCAAGUUUCUGUAAAUGUCUAAAAUCAUGUAAAAAAAAUUCAAUCGGCAUAAAAUAAUUUUAUUUUAUUUUAUUUUUGGCUAGUUCGCACGCUCAGCUGACGCAUAAUCCACCCUCAGUUGUGCAGCUGACUACUUUCUUUUAAUUGUAAUCAAUGUCAAUAACACGUGAAAAAAAUUUCAUGUGGUAUAAAAUACUUUUCAGAUUUUUAUUUUUUAACGUAUUCCGCAGCUUCCCAAUCUCGCAUCCACCGCAACUGGACCAGCUGACGAUCGAUUUCGUCAUAAGCCACAUGCAUUCUGUUUUCUAUAUUAACAUCAGCCGGCAUAAAAUGACUUGUUUAAAAAGCCGC